CUACGGGGCGCUGCAGUCGAGAAGCUUCGGCAAUGGGCGAAAGCCUGACCGAGCGAUGCCGCGUGAGCGAAGAAGGCCCUAUGGGUUGUAAAGCUCUGUCAGAUUGGGAAGAAAGCUUCGGGGUUAAUACCCCCGAAGUGUGACGGUACCAUCAGAGGAAGCACCGGCUAACUCCGUGCCAGCAGCCGCGGUAAUACGGAGGGUGCAAGCGUUGUUCGGAUUCACUGGGUAUAAAGGGUGCGCAGGCGGCCUGGUAAGUCAGGGGUGAAAUUUGACGGCUCAACCGUCAAACUGCCUCUGAACCUGCCAGGCUUGAGUCCGGGAGAGGAAGGUGGAAUUCCUGGUGUAGCGGUGAAAUGCGUAAAUAUCAGGAGGAACACCGGUGGCGAAGGCGGCCUUCUGGCCCGGAACUGACGCUCAUGCACGAAAGCCAGGGGAGCGAACGGGAUUAGAUACCCCAGUAGUC
RNAcentral lists this ribosomal RNA (466 nucleotides) under uncultured bacterium. RNAcentral describes it as "partial 16S ribosomal RNA". It matches the Rfam family "Bacterial small subunit ribosomal RNA", at positions 339 to 795 of the family's 1533-position model. The record is from RNAcentral.